This 409-nucleotide ribosomal RNA is filed under the name uncultured Mogibacterium sp. Its description in RNAcentral is "partial 16S ribosomal RNA". It matches the Rfam family "Bacterial small subunit ribosomal RNA", at positions 341 to 765 of the family's 1533-position model. Lineage: Bacteria; Bacillati; Bacillota; Clostridia; Peptostreptococcales; Anaerovoracaceae. The record is from RNAcentral.
ACGGAAGGCAGCAGUGGGGAAUAUUGCACAAUGGGGGAAACCCUGAUGCAGCGACGCCGCGUGAGUGAAGAAGGCCUUCGGGUUGUAAAAAUCUGAUCUAAGGGAAGAAGAAAAUGACGGUACCUUAGGAGAAAGCCCCGGCUAACUACGUGCCAGCAGCCGCGGUAAUACGUAGGGGGCAAGCGUUAUCCGGAAUUAUUGGGCGUAAAGAGUGCGUAGGUGGUUACCUAAGCGCAAGGUUUAAUCUUGAGGCUUAACCUCAUUCUGCCUUGCGAACUGGGCUACUUGAGUGCAGGAGGGGAAAGCGGAAUUCCUAGUGUAGCGGUGAAAUGCGUAGAUAUUAGGAAGAACACCGGUGGCGAAGGCGGCUUUCUGGACUGUAACUGACGCUGAGGCACGAAAGCGUGGG